UAGAAGUGUUAGAAGUUAAUUAAUUAGCAAUAGACAUGCUUAGCUAGCAACAAUUUCUGUUCUGUGUCCGAGAGCGUGGGCCCUGCAAAGCAAUCCCUCCCUGAGCACCACAGCAGCACACUGAGCCGAAGCCACCUGCCCAGAGCAGCUUGUUGGCCAACUGGGAGAGAAACCCAAGGCCAGAGCUGCUCUGAGCAAAUGUUUGGCACACGCGAGGGCUUCACUCUGCCCUGUGGUCCGAAUGGGGAGAGCAAACGGAGAAAUGGGGGAUUUUUCUGGCGCUGUGGCAAGGAUAAUCCUUGGGAACCAGUCCCAGGCUUAGCCCCUGUGCUGUAAAUCCCCAGGCUCUUCUCUAGCCAAGCGAUGUUGGCAAAUACUGUGGGGAGGUGAUUGUAUAACAGAGAUCACUAAUCUUUUCCAAAGCUUCCCAGAGAGCCCCAUCUCGCCCCGCUGUCCUUCAGGAGCGAGGAGGGCAGAGAGCAGUGUCCCCGUGCUCUUGACAUUCAUCGCUUUUGCCACUUCCAAAGUACUCUCUCGUCAGCCUUUCUGUCUUUUCCCUGUGCGGGGAGUCCUGGUUCCGGGACUGGGGGUCUUUGCUGUGAUCCAAGAGCAAUUCUACAGCAAAGAAGAGGCGGUUUUGGUUCGAAGGCCUGUCUUCCAGAUGGACCUCGGUGUGCUGUGGCUGCAGGACAUCCAGUCUCCCAAGGAGAUCGUCCCUGACUGUGUCAAGAUUGAGCCACCGCCUUCCCGCUGCACGUGGUGCAGCUCUGUGUGCAAGAGACCAUCCUCUUGUACUGCCUCUUCCUGAAGAACAAGGUGCACGUCUCGUUUGCCUUCAAGGACUUGGGCGUUCUGACGUGCAAAGAUGACUUCCUCUGCAUGAGGUUCUACUACAGCUGCAUUGCUAUGCUGGAGAGCAAUGCAGGACCGAUUGCGGCGCUCCACAGCAGAAUUUGGCCGGAACAUUCUGCUGACUUCAGCCCAGAAACCACCGCUCACGGGAUCCAGGUGUUCCCGAGGUGAGUGCGUUUCCUCUGCAGCCCUUAGCUGACCAGGUGAGAGGCUUCCUUCCCACCUCCUCCUUUGGAACGUGUCCUCUUGGGUCUCCACGCUCAGCAGCCAGUCGGGGAGAAAUCCUGAGAAGUCUGGCUCCUGGUUCACUACUGCUGCCGUUUGGCUGUGUGUGUCUUUACCCGGAGUGACGGGGAAUCACGGUUGUGUUUCUGGUGCUCAACCUGUCCGGAUUCCCAUCAGAGAGAACUGGCUGCACAUGGAGAGGAAUUAGGGCUAUGUGUGCUGGUUUGGCAUGGACGGGAAGGAAAAGGGGUGCCGUGCUUUGCAUAACACAUAGAUAAACGCUGCCAACGAGCUGCGUGGGGUAGGAUGUCACCCUUCUUCAAGGGUGUGUUUCUCUUUGUUUCCAGGUUUCAGCUCACCGUGAGAAAGAGUAGAGCAGAGGCCGCCUCUGACGGCGAAGCCGCGGGCGAGGAUGAGAUCAGCAGAGUUCCAGGGGGCCCUGCCAUCAGGCUGCUGCAGAGGCAGAAGAUGCUUCCCCUCUCCAUGCUGCUGAGCUGCGAGCCAGGCACGAGGCAGCAGGAUGCGGCCAAGAAGCCUUCUGCCAGGUGAGAGCCUUGGGCAAAAAGAGGAAGGAGAUGCGUGAGCUCAUGUCGGAGUCACCUCCCCUUUGGACCUGCCAGCUCUGGGGACUCAGAAAGCCUCCUGACACACAUGCGUCCCAGUGGAGGCCGUUCUCUCAAGGGAUGGCAAGCGCACAGCAUGAUUGCCCGAGGCAGACACGCCAGCUUCAUUUUCCACCCCGGUCCCCCAUCUCUGGGGGAGCUGAAUCCCGAUCCCAGUGGGUCGCAGAAGCUCUUCUCCCUUCAGGGGUCUCUCCACAUUGCAACGGAGCCCAUCUUUAUGGUUGUGGGAGCACGAGAGGAGACCAAGGUGCCCCGGGCUCCUGCACACUCCUCUUGGUGUCUGUUUGCAGCGUGCUCCCACCGUGCACAGGCAGAUCCCCCAGGACAAAGAAAGCGGGACAAAAGGAACCAGCUCCUCCAGCCCAGCCCAGCGCAGCACUCCCUGCAACAGAAGACUCUAAGAGAGCGCUGCAGGAGCUCCGGGAAGUGUCUGCACUGGGGUACAAAGCGGACCGCUUGCGGCCUGUGUACCGGCAGCGGAUCCAAGAAGCACAGGCUGAAAGGGCUGCGUGGGAAGACUGGAGUGCAGGGAAGGACUGGCAGCCACCCCAGGUAGUGACAGGGAUUGACCCUGCUGACAACAGCCGCCAUCCUCUGCGCCACAGGGUGAGGUUGGCAGGGCUCAGUGGGUGGGAGGAGGACAGGCCCCAAGCAGCAGGGCAGGGGCUGGCCUGCUCCUCCCUGGGAGGAGGGCUUGGCACCAGCCCCUGAGGGAGAAAGGCAGCGGGCAGCCAUGGGAUGCAGGGCCAAGACCUCUGCUUGCCAGGGCCUGCUGCAGGGCCCUUGCCAGAUGGCCUCUGGAAACAGCCCCGUGCUCCCAGCCAGCUUUGCAGACACUGCCUGCUCCUUGACAGCAGUUCCCCAGGGCCAGCAUGUGGGCUCCGCAUCCUCCGACCCAGCCCAGGGGACAGCAGGUGGGGAAGAGGUGGAGGAAGGCUGAGGCUCCUGUGCUGGGAAAUGAAAUGGGAGCAGCAACCAGGCUGGUUCUGCAGGCUCUGUUUGCUGCCUGAGGCACUCGGGCAGCUGUGAUGACCCUGCAGCUCAGGGACGGCCCCGGCCCAGGCCAAAAACUGCUGGUGGGGUGAAAGGCUUGGGACACGCGGCACCACGGGGCUGCGGGGCUGGGUGAGGGGAGAGGCAGAGGGGGCUCAGCAGAGCCUGAGGGAUGCCUUUCUCCUCCUGUGGCAGCCUCCUUUCCCCACGAGCGGCACAGGUGCUCAGAAGGCCGGAGCCGCACCUCCACCAGCAGGAGGCUUUUGGCAGCACUGCAGAGGGAAACAGCAGGAGGCUUUCAGCAGCACUGCUCUCUAGCAGCUUCUGCACCGCUGCCUUUGCUCACUGUAUUGAAGUGGUAACAUUCUUCUCCCAGUCAAGACAGCAAAAACCUGGGACUCUACCACUCUCAGGGUGUUAUUGCUGUCCAUAACCCCUUUAGUUCAUGCAAUGCCAAAUAAGCAGAGUGAUAACAGAUCUCCUACCGCAGACAAAGCUAGGCAAAUAGUACUGCCCGUACUGUUGGUGUGUGUCGUUAAAUUUGUGAAUAUUUGCCACAAAUUUUGUGCAGAACAGCUGGCAAGCAGAAGCAGAAUCGUUGUUGCCAUCGCCGUUCUCCUCGCCAUUCUCCUCGCACACUGUCGUGAGAGGGGUAUGAUCAGUCGGGUGCUUUGAGCAUUGCUGGUGCUGGUGAUGCUACUGGCGCCGGCUUAGCCCAUCAGGCAGGAAGUCAACGCGGGCCUGCCGGUGUCCCCAUGCACGCAUAGCCACGCCCCGUAACAAGGAGAGGGCACGGUUCAGGAUGCCAUGGCCCGCCAUCAGGCUGUAUAAGAACCGUCCCAAUGGGAAGGCGCUCCGUUAAAUGAUGGUCUGUGGCUCACCGCUCUAGGUGAUCCAAGCUGUACAAUGCGCAUAACAGCAAAGCGUGAGGGCAUAACUCUGGUCCGGCUAACCCUCCCCCCUCUUUAAAGG
Long non-coding RNA from Numida meleagris (helmeted guineafowl), 3665 nucleotides. RefSeq lists it as uncharacterized. The transcript is spliced from 5 exons. Lineage: Eukaryota; Metazoa; Chordata; Aves; Galliformes; Numididae. The record is from RefSeq and is a predicted model, not a curated record.